This 424-nucleotide ribosomal RNA is filed under the name uncultured bacterium. Its description in RNAcentral is "partial 16S ribosomal RNA". It matches the Rfam family "Bacterial small subunit ribosomal RNA", at positions 354 to 796 of the family's 1533-position model. The record is from RNAcentral.
GUGGGGAAUCUUGCGCAAUGGGCGAAAGCCUGACGCAGCCAUGCCGCGUGAAUGAUGAAGGUCUUAGGAUUGUAAAAUUCUUUCACCGGGGACGAUAAUGACGGUACCCGGAGAAGAAGCCCCGGCUAACUUCGUGCCAGCAGCCGCGGUAAUACGAAGGGGGCUAGCGUUGCUCGGAAUUACUGGGCGUAAAGGGCGCGUAGGCGGACAGUUUAGUCAGAGGUGAAAGCCCAGGGCUCAACCUUGGAAUUGCCUUUGAUACUGGCUGUCUUGAGUACGGGAGAGGUGAGUGGAACUCCGAGUGUAGAGGUGAAAUUCGUAGAUAUUCGGAAGAACACCAGUGGCGAAGGCGACUCACUGGCCCGUUACUGACGCUGAGGCGCGAAAGCGUGGGGAGCAACAGGAUUAGAUACCCUGGUAGUCC